Talpa occidentalis (Iberian mole) is the source of this 2900-nucleotide long non-coding RNA. RefSeq lists it as uncharacterized. Lineage: Eukaryota; Metazoa; Chordata; Mammalia; Eulipotyphla; Talpidae. The record is from RefSeq and is a predicted model, not a curated record. The transcript has 9 exons.
ACCAGCUUGCCAGCCCCACCGCCACCUGAGGAGUCUGCUUUGGCCAUUCUCAUGGCUGACGGUAAUGAAGGCCGUUCCAGCGUCCCAGGGAGCAGCCUGACACAGCAACUCGAAGGACAGGAACAGUGUUCUGGGAGUCCAGUCAUACGGUCCCUUUUUGGAUUGACCCCUCCCAUCUGCUGCUGGGACACAGGAUGGCAUCUCUAGCCUCACACCCAAUCAUGCAGGAUUCACUCCCUGUUCUGAGUUGUACUACAGAGAUUUCUGGCAUGAACUGACAAUGAAGAGUCUCAGCUCCAGCCCCCGGGGAAGCCAGUAAACAUCGUGAGGACACUCCAGACAUGCUAUGCGGAGGUCUAUGUGGUGAUGAGCUGAAGCCUACUGCCAAUAGUCACCUUGCCAGAUGAGGGAAGGAGCUCACUUGGAAGCAGACCACUAAGCCCCAGUCGAGCCUUCAGCUGACUGCUAACCUCUUACUGCAGAAUCAUGAGUGACCGGGAGCCAGAAUCACCCAAGCAAGAAAUUAGGAGCUUUCGCUGUGGAGUCUACCCUACAGCCUCCCGCUACCUGCCUCCCUGUGUCUGGUAGGCAGCACAGUUGCGAGUAGCACAGGAAGGACAAGUUGAGUCCAGCCACUUUCUCUGAUGUCUGCUUGACCUUCGAGGGACUCACAGUUUCAGCCUCACCAACUAGCUGAGCAGCUUCAUUGCCUGUUUCUUGCUUUGCAAGAAGUCAUAGACCUGGUGAUGAAUCCAGGAACACAAAAGUGGGAGCAGGGGGACUUAAGAGGAUCUCAUGGUGCUCGAACUGGAAAGCUCUUCUUGGUGGACUAGAGCUGACUGAGGCAGCGUGAACCUGGGUGCUGCCUGGAUUGAAGAAGCAGGGGUGUUCCUCACAGCAGAACCCUGGGAUGGAGCAGUGAUGGGGGCUGGGAACUUGGACUGGAACAAAAGCUUGACUUGGAAGCUGGAUGAAACCAGAGUGACAUCAAAGACCAUGACGGGAAUGCCGCAAGAUGCAAACAGACAGCUUGGAAGAAAAUACCCCACCUGUGUCCAGCUUUGAUUAGUUUGCCUCCAUUGGCAGGACUGGAAAACCCUAAGAGAGAAACCUCGAGAAAAGGAAACCCUGGUGGAAUCUGAAAUGCAGGACUUUGCCACACUGGAGAGCCAUGGACAAGGCCUAGUGACUAUUGUUUCUCUUGAGCACACUGGAAUCCUGGGAAAGACUGUCCCCUAAGGCUGCACCCCCAGAUCUUCACCACCAUAGAAAUGGCGGGGGUAAAAAUGAAAACAGUGUGAAAUCCAUAGAUUGGGUCAGCUCCAUGUUCCCUGUCCCACCUAUGGGAAGGUGAAGUUGAAUGGUGAGGGAGAAUCUAACGACUUGGGAGAGGACUCAAGAAGAAGAAGGCAGAGAGAAGUUCUGGAGGAUGCCUGUGGAGCAGAGACUUGUGAAGAAGCUGUGCUUGCUUUUUAGCCUGGGACUUGUACUUGGGGAAUGUGGAAAGAAACACUUGAAAGAGACAGAGAUGUGGCUGAGAGAACUGUGGGAAGGCUGACAAUGGCAACAUUUAUCUUGAUUUGUAUUUUGAUUUUGCUUCUUUCCUUCCAAACUUGCCUGACCCCUUCUGUUCCUUUCUUAUGGGUCCCAACCAGAAAAUGGAGAGACUUGUGGCAAGUUUUUGGGCCCCAGUUAUUCUGUUUUAGGCCUACCCUGUUUGGCUGAGCAUUUACCCAUGAGUGGAUGGGUAACUGGGUAUUUAAUUAGAAACUAUUUUAAGUAUAUUCUUUCUCUUUUCUCUAUUACACACUAAUGAUAUAAAAGUUCUUACCAACUGAAGACUUACACACUAAAAAUAUUUUUGUCUUUAUAUGGCAGAUGGCAGAACCCAUUCAGAGUGUGCAGAUUUGGGGGUCCUAGGGUGCCCCUCAUUCUGCCCACUAACACAAUGAGGGUGCCCCUCAUUCUGCCCACAUCUCCAGGAGAUGUUGUACAUGCCACCUGUGUGCCUACAGUUAUCCAUCUCUUGAUGUAACAGGAUGCUUCUCUGUCCCAGAGAUCUUGAUCAUUUAAUCAUCCACAGUAGGAAGAGAAGAUUAUCAGGAAAGUUGAGAAAACAGGUUUAGAAAAGAUGUCUCUCAAAAUGUCAUAGCUAAUAAAUGAUGAAGCCAGUUUCAAAUCUUGGUCAGUGGAAUAUUCUUCAAGAUGAUGUAUUUCUCUCAUCUUUCUCUCUUCCACAGUUAACAAAAUCAACAAUGAGAACAGGAAAUAGGAAAUUAUGAAACAAUUGGCACCUUCAAUUAAAAAAAAAAAGCCAAAUGAGAGAGAGAAGGAAAAAUGUUCACAAUCUGAGAGAGUGAAGUGUGAAACUGAAUGGUUGCAAGGUGUGUGAGUGGGGUGCAAGCACACACAUGCUUUGUUUGCUUUGUGUUUGUCAAACACAAUGCAGAAAAUCCUCAGAUAUGGGGUGGGGGUGCUGCAAGAGACUUUAAAAACUGGGUGAGAUGGAACACUGGAGAGAAGAGUUAUUUAAAAGUCUGUGUAAGCAUCAUUUAGAUACCAGAUUCUUAUCCCGUUUCUGCUGAAGAUCUAUAAUUUAUUCUUUUGAGAAACAAAACCAGAGGAUUGGAUGGUGGACUGGGAGGCUGGGAGAGAGCUAUGUCUUGAUUUGCCUUAAUCAAAAGUCAGUAGGUGAUAUCUUAAUCUGAUAAAUCUGGGGAUAACUGCAAAUGUAUAUUAUUUUAAGACAUAGUGAAAAAACUGCAAAAAUAGCCCAAAGUAUUAAAAAUUAUUGCAUAGACAAAAGUAAAUGGUAUAGUGGUGAAUAGAUGAUACGAAAAUAGCCAGUGUUGAGAAUCAUGGACACUGGAUGACAGGUACAUGGAGGUCCAUCAUAUCAU